UAUUGGACAAUGGGCGAAAGCCUGAUCCAGCCAUGCCGCGUGAGUGAUGAAGGCCUUAGGGUUGUAAAGCUCUUUUAGCAGAGAAGAUAAUGACGGUACCUGCAGAAAAAGCCCCGGCUAACUUCGUGCCAGCAGCCGCGGUAAUACGAAGGGGGCUAGCGUUGCUCGGAAUUACUGGGCGUAAAGCGCACGUAGGCGGACUCUUAAGUCGGUGGUGAAAUCCUGGAGCUCAACUCCAGAACUGCCUUCGAAACUGGGAGCCUUGAGUUCGGGAGAGGUGAGUGGAACUGCGAGUGUAGAGGUGAAAUUCGUAGAUAUUCGCAAGAACACCAGUGGCGAAGGCGGCUCACUGGCCCGAUACUGACGCUGAGGUGCGAAAGCGUGGGGAGCAAACAG
RNAcentral lists this ribosomal RNA (396 nucleotides) under uncultured bacterium. RNAcentral describes it as "bacterial SSU rRNA". It matches the Rfam family "Bacterial small subunit ribosomal RNA", at positions 362 to 775 of the family's 1533-position model. The record is from RNAcentral.